RNAcentral lists this ribosomal RNA (439 nucleotides) under Salmonella enterica. RNAcentral describes it as "partial 23S ribosomal RNA". It matches the Rfam family "Bacterial large subunit ribosomal RNA", at positions 161 to 639 of the family's 2925-position model. Lineage: Bacteria; Pseudomonadati; Pseudomonadota; Gammaproteobacteria; Enterobacterales; Enterobacteriaceae. The record is from RNAcentral. RNAcentral also lists the same sequence under 2 other names.
AAUCCAUAGGUUAAUGAGGCGAACCGGGGGAACUGAAACAUCUAAGUACCCCGAGGAAAAGAAAUCAACCGAGAUUCCCCCAGUAGCGGCGAGCGAACGGGGAGGAGCCCAGAGCCUGAAUCAGCAUGUGUGUUAGUGGAAGCGUCUGGAAAGGCGCGCGAUACAGGGUGACAGCCCCGUACACAAAAGCGCAUGUGCUGUGAGCUCGAUGAGUAGGGCGGGACACGUGGUAUCCUGUCUGAAUAUGGGGGGACCAUCCUCCAAGGCUAAAUACUCCUGACUGACCGAUAGUGAACCAGUACCGUGAGGGAAAGGCGAAAAGAACCCCGGCGAGGGGAGUGAAAAAGAACCUGAAACCGUGUACGUACAAGCAGUGGGAGCACCCUUUGGGUGUGACUGCGUACCUUUUGUAUAAUGGGUCAGCGACUUAUAUUCUGUA